GCCCGGGUGGUGGAAUUGGUAGACACAGGGGACUUAAAAUCCCCCGGCUAUUGCAGCUGUGCCGGUUCAAGUCCGGCCCCGGGCACCA
RNAcentral lists this transfer RNA (88 nucleotides) under Sulfurospirillum arcachonense. RNAcentral's name for it is "tRNA-Leu". It matches the Rfam family "tRNA". From Rfam's summary of the family: Transfer RNA (tRNA) molecules are approximately 80 nucleotides in length. Their secondary structure includes four short double-helical elements and three loops (D, anti-codon, and T loops). The record is from RNAcentral. Lineage: Bacteria; Pseudomonadati; Campylobacterota; Epsilonproteobacteria; Campylobacterales; Sulfurospirillaceae. RNAcentral also lists the same sequence under 2 other names.